GAAUUUUCCACAAUGGGGGCAACCCUGAUGGAGCAACGCCGCGUGCAGGAUGAAGGCCUUCGGGUUGUAAACUGCUUUUGUCUGUGACGAAUAUGACGGUAGCAGACGAAUAAGGAUCGGCUAACUACGUGCCAGCAGCCGCGGUCAUACGUAGGAUCCAAGCGUUAUCCGGAUUUACUGGGCGUAAAGAGUUGCGUAGGUGGCAGAGUAAGUUGGUAGUGAAAGCGUCCCGCUCAACGGGAUAUACAUUAUCAAAACUGCUCCGCUUGAAGAUGAGAGAGGUCACUGGAAUUCCAAGUGUAGGAGUGAAAUCCGUAGAUAUUUGGAGGAACACCGAUGGCGUAGGCAGGUGACUGGCUCAUUCUUGACACUAAGGCACGAAAGCGUGGGGAGCGAACGGG
This 401-nucleotide ribosomal RNA is filed under the name uncultured bacterium. RNAcentral describes it as "bacterial SSU rRNA". It matches the Rfam family "Bacterial small subunit ribosomal RNA", at positions 359 to 776 of the family's 1533-position model. The record is from RNAcentral.